This 566-nucleotide unclassified non-coding RNA is filed under the name Mycoplasma sp. Bear. RNAcentral describes it as "partial miscellaneous RNA". The stretch from base 97 to 566 matches the Rfam family "Bacterial large subunit ribosomal RNA", at positions 1 to 481 of the family's 2925-position model. Lineage: Bacteria; Bacillati; Mycoplasmatota; Mollicutes; Mycoplasmatales; Mycoplasmataceae. The record is from RNAcentral.
AGGCGGACGAUUCUCAGUUUUGAGAAAGCUAGAACUUUCUCAGAUUGCUUUUUGAAAGGAAAAGAUAAUAACCGAGUUAACUUAAUAGUUAGUCAUACGUAAAUUAUUAAGAGCUAUAGGUGGAUUUCUUGGAAAUGGUAGGCUAUGAAGGACGUGCCAAUCUGCGAUAAGCUAGGGGUAGCCGAUAAGAGGCUUUGAUCCCUAGAUCUCCGAAUGUAGAAAUACAACAUUUCGAAAGAUUUGUUAUUUAUCGGCCAAUCAAUAACCGAUAAAGGUGAACCUCGUGAAGUGAAACAUCUCAGUAGCGAGAGGAAAAGAAAGCGAAUGCGAUUCCCUCAGUAGUGGUGAGCGAAAGGGGACCAGGCCAAACCGGUUUUUCCGGGGUUGUAGGACAUUCUUUUAGAGUCCGGAAUAUAGGAGAAGUCUUUGGAAAAAGACGGCAUAGAGGGCGAUCCCCCCGUAUCCGACAUGUUCUUGACUUUUGAGUGUAUCCUGAGUAGGGCGGGACACGUGUAAUCCUGUCUGAAUCUGCCCAGACCAUUGGGUAAGCCUAAAUACUAACCAUU